Molecule: long non-coding RNA, 1207 nt
Organism: Aegilops tauschii subsp. strangulata
Lineage: Eukaryota; Viridiplantae; Streptophyta; Magnoliopsida; Poales; Poaceae
Source: RefSeq, a predicted model, not a curated record
CUCAAAAUCACAAGGAUGCUGCCGCCCUUCGUUCCCCACCCACAAAAUCCCUAGCUUUCCUGUUGUUCCCCACCCACGCCGCCGCCCCACGCCGGCCAAUCCCCAUGCCUCCCACCACCGCCCCAUGUCGUCAGGGGCUACCGCCGGUCUAUCCCACUGUCACCCCAUGCCGCCCUGCCUCUGCAUCACCAUCCCACGCCGCCCUGCCUCUGUAGCACCGCCCCACACGCUGCCCCGUCCCCACAGCGCCGCCCAAUUCCGACAUGCCUCUCCACCGUCGGCUCCACACCCUCGGGCUCUCUCUCCGGUUGGCCGCCUCUCUCCAACCUCCCUGGCCCAACCCCCCAUCUCCAUCAUCCAGCUCAUGAAGACACACGCAGUGGCGGUGGCGGCGAAGAUUUGGAUCUGGGCCGCGUGCGGCUGGGCAAGGACAUCCCUCUCUGUCUUUGGCUGGGCAAGGGCAUCGAUGCGGCUGAGGUAGAACAGAGGACAGAUGCUGGUAACGUUGAGCCAACAAAGAGAAGUAGCAGAAUAUUUGCUAUGCCACUGUAGUGCAUAAGAGCAUGGGGAGCUUUUAUCGUUCUUGGAUUUCAUAAAAUAGAAGAGAUGACAGAAAUGGGGUGGGAGGUAUGUGGAAACAGAGCUUCUUACUUGUGGCAGUAGACGACUAGGCAGUUCAUGCAGGUCAGCCCUCAACACCUGACUCCCUUGAUCGGUGUCUUCCUCUUCUCCACUCAUCUAUAGAAGCUCUGGAAACAUGAUGUCUCUGUACUCUGGUAUGGGAUGGUGCGCUUUUAAUGACGAAAAGAAUGGCACGCACUCCAAAUAUCUUCCUAGAAAGUGGAUUAACUGAAGAAGAAUCUACUACAGAAGUAAGAUCUGGUUACAAUCAAUCUGAAAGGCAAAAUGAAUUCUGUGUGUGGGGAACAACAUAGCAGGUGAAUCUUAUCUGAACAGGGACGUCUUCCUCAUCCUGCCACUUAGGAAAGACAUACAAGACGAGGAAGGAACUAUGGAGAUAGUUUGCGUCAACUAGAUAGUUUGUGUAAGGUGCAAAAUAAUGCACCAUUUGGCUAUCAUUUUGUAAGCCUUUAUGUUGUAUUGUCAACUGGAUAUUUUGUACAAAAUCAAUGACAUGCAUCUAUUAUUGUAUCUUGAUUGAUAUUGUGUUGGAUGUUAUUGUAAUGAGAUAUUUUAUGUGACUUUA